GUAGGGAAUAUUGGACAAUGGGGGCAACCCUGAUCCAGCGACGCCGCGUGAGUGACGAAGGCCUUCGGGUCGUAAAGCUCUGUUGCAAGGGAAAAACAAAAUGAUGGUACCUUGCUAGAAAGGAUCGGCUAACUUCGUGCCAGCAGCCGCGGUAAGACGAGGGAUCCUAGCGUUGUUCGGAAUUAUUGGGCGUAAAGCGGGUGUAGGUGGCUUUGUAAGUCAGGUGUGAAAGCCUGGGGCUUAACCCCAGAAGUGCAUUUGAUACUGCGAAGCUUGAGUGCUGGAGAGGCUACUAGAAUUCUUGGUGUAGUAGUGAAAUACGUAGAUAUCAAGAGGAAUACCGGAGGCGAAGGCGGGUAGCUGGCCAGACACUGACACUCAGACCCGAAAGCGUGGGGAUCAAACAGGAUUAGAUACCCCUGUAGUCC
RNAcentral lists this ribosomal RNA (428 nucleotides) under uncultured bacterium. RNAcentral describes it as "partial 16S ribosomal RNA". It matches the Rfam family "Bacterial small subunit ribosomal RNA", at positions 354 to 796 of the family's 1533-position model. The record is from RNAcentral.